RNAcentral lists this long non-coding RNA (393 nucleotides) under Zea mays. RNAcentral's name for it is "drought responsive lncRNA". Lineage: Eukaryota; Viridiplantae; Streptophyta; Magnoliopsida; Poales; Poaceae. The record is from RNAcentral.
AUGGUGGUGUUAUUAUUGGUAGUUCAAAACUCAGCAAGCAGUUUGAUAAACAAAACAACUCAGCAAUGUGACACGACACUAUAUAUCUAUGAGAGAACAGAACCUCAACAUCAACGCCGCCGUUGGAUAGAAUAAAAUUACAAACCUCAACCGCCACAUCAGCAUCUAUGUAAGCUAGCUAGAGUUUGUUAUAUACACAGGGAAGGUGAGGAGGAGGAGGGUCAGGUGCCAGCAGCAGCUCAAAUCCAUCCGACUACUAGUAUAAAUGAAGAAUCUCAAGUCUUCCCUCUCCUCUCCUGUCCUCUCCCCCACCGCACCCGCUCUUCUCUAAUGUACACUUCGGUAUUCAAAAUGCUAUUACACCUUAGGGAUCUCAAUUGUGCAGCGAUAACA